AGAUUGAACGCUGGCGGCAGGCUUAACACAUGCAAGUCGAGCGGUAGCAGGUCCUUCGGGAUGCUGACGAGCGGCGGACGGGUGGGUAAUACAUAGGAAACUGCCCAGUAGUGGGGGAUAGCCCGGGGAAACCCGGACUAAUACCGCAUACGCCCUUUGGGGGAAAGCAGGGGAUCUUCGGACCUUGCGCUAUUGGAUGUGCCUAUGUCGGAUUAGCUAGUUGGUGGGUAAAGCCUACAAGGCGACGAUCCGUAGCUGGUCUGAGAGGAUGAUCAGCCACAUCGGGACUGAGACACGGCCCGAACUCCUACGGGAGGCAGCAGUGGGAAUAUUGGACAAGUGGGGGCAACCUGAUCCAGGCCAUGCCGCGUGUGUGAAGAAGGCUUUCGGGUAGUAAGCUACUUUCAGUGAGGAGAACACUUUGACGUAUUAAGUACUCG
Molecule: ribosomal RNA, 440 nt
Filed under: uncultured soil bacterium
Lineage: Bacteria
Description: bacterial SSU rRNA
Rfam family: Bacterial small subunit ribosomal RNA
Source: RNAcentral